Molecule: long non-coding RNA, 417 nt
Organism: Melanotaenia boesemani (Boeseman's rainbowfish)
Lineage: Eukaryota; Metazoa; Chordata; Actinopteri; Atheriniformes; Melanotaeniidae
Exons: 3
Source: RefSeq, a predicted model, not a curated record
UUUUAACGCUCUUGUUAAGUGAUAUUAAUCAAAAUACGUAAGUGUGACGGAUUAUAUAUAUUAUAAUUCAUGGAGCAUAAACAAAAAGUCAGUUUGUUUUUUUCAUCCAUUACAGUAGGGAAAUUUAGGAAAUUGAUGUCCUGUCCCAUGGAUAAAUCGGUAUCAGACAAACCUUUUUCUUAAAACACACAUACACACACGCACACACAAACACACGAAGACCAUUCUGGCAAAUGCAUAUUCAGUUUGCCAUGGCGUGGCAAGCAGACUAGAGAGGCACUGUGGCCCCCUGCUUAAUUUUGGCCCCUAAAAUGCCAUUGCCUAGUCACUGGUUGCUCUUUACAGAUGUGCCUAUAUAAAAUCCUGGAUUGACAACUGCAACAUCCAUUCACUGUAUCCAUGGUGAAUAUAUAAUUC